UACGGCUCAGUAACACGUAGUUAACCUGCCCUCGGGACGAGAACACCCCCGGGAAACUGGGGCUAAUUCUCGAUAGGCGAAGAACUCUGGAAUGAGUCUUUACCCAAAAGACGUUUAGAUCAUGCUUCUAGGCGUCGCCCAAGGAUGGGGCUGCGACCGAUCAGGUAGUUGGUGAGGCAAUGGCUCACCAAGCCUUUAACCGGUGCGGGCCGUGGGAGCGGGAGCCCGGAGAUGGGCACUGAGACAAGGGCCCAGGCCCUACGGGGCGCAGCAGUCGCGAAAACUUUGCAAUAAGCGAAAGCUUGACAGGGCUAUCCCGAGUGCCAUCCGCUGAGGAAGGCUUUUACCCAGUCUAGUAAGCUGGGGGAAUAAGGAGAGGGCAAGUCUGGUGUCAGCCGCCGCGGUAAUACCAGCUCUCCGAGUGGUGUGGAUGUUUAUUGGGCCUAAAGCAUCCGUAGCUGGCUGAGUUAGUCCCCUGUUAAAUCCACCGAAUCAAUCGUUGGAUUGCGGGGGAUACUGCUCGGCUAGGGGACGGGAGAGGCAGACGGUAUUUCCGGGGUAAGGGUGAAAUCUUAUAAUCCCGGGAAGACCUCCAGUGGCGAAGGCUGUCUGCUAGAACGCGCCCGACGGUGAGGGAUGAAAGCUGGGGUAGCGAACCGGAUUAGAUACCCGGGUAGUCCCAGCCGUAAACGAUGCAGGCUAGGUGUUUGGGCGGCCACGUGCCGCUCUAGUGCCGCAGGGAAGCUGUUAAGCCUGCCGCCUGGGGAGUACGAUCGCAAGAUUGAAACUUAAAGGAAUUGGCGGGGGAGCACAAUCA
This 817-nucleotide ribosomal RNA is filed under the name uncultured archaeon. RNAcentral's name for it is "bacterial SSU rRNA". It matches the Rfam family "Archaeal small subunit ribosomal RNA", at positions 84 to 884 of the family's 1478-position model. The record is from RNAcentral.